RNAcentral lists this ribosomal RNA (523 nucleotides) under Megalestes micans. Its description in RNAcentral is "SSU rRNA". It matches the Rfam family "Eukaryotic small subunit ribosomal RNA", at positions 631 to 1126 of the family's 1831-position model. The record is from RNAcentral. Lineage: Eukaryota; Metazoa; Arthropoda; Insecta; Odonata; Synlestidae.
UAGUCGGAGGUGUGUCUCGGACGGUUGGUUCGCUGCUUGUCGGUGCUUAACUGGCCGGUCCGGACGUCCUGCCGGUGGGGAUGUCAAAAGUCUCCGUUAUCCUUCUUUGGUGCUCUUCACUGAGUGCCCUGGUGGGCCGGCACGUUUACUUUGAACAAAUUAGAGUGCUCAAAGCAGGCCGUUGGUCGCCUGAAUACUGUGUGCAUGGAAUAAUGGAAUAGGACCUCGGUUCCAUUUUGUUGGUUUUCAGAACUCGAGGUAAUGAUUAAUAGGGACGGACGGGGGCAUUCGUAUUGCGACGUUAGAGGUGAAAUUCUUGGAUCGUCGCAAGACGAACCGAUGCGAAAGCAUUUGCCAAGAACGUUUUCGUUGAUCAAGAACGAAAGUUAGAGGUUCGAAGGCGAUCAGAUACCGCCCUAGUUCUAACCAUAAACGAUGCCAGCUAGCCAUCCGCCGAAGUUCCUUCUAUGACUCGGCGGGCAGCUUCCGGGAAACCAAAGCUCUUGGGUUCCGGGGGAAGUAU